This 2227-nucleotide unclassified non-coding RNA is filed under the name Haliotis rubra (blacklip abalone). RNAcentral's name for it is "homeobox protein araucan-like, transcript variant X1". Lineage: Eukaryota; Metazoa; Mollusca; Gastropoda; Lepetellida; Haliotidae. The record is from RNAcentral.
AGUGACGAGUUCCAAUUAUAUGGGCGAAGUGGCGAUCCUACGGUAAAUACACGAUGGAGAGCUGAGCAAUGAUUCAAUAUUAAUGAGGAAAGGGAUAAGAAAUAUGAAAAGUGUGGCACGAUAGGCGAGCAAAACGGUUCAUGUGUCUCGUUGUCGACACAAGGUGUCUCGAGUGACCCAGGCCUUUGAUUGAACAGUUGCACAGCCCAGCCGAGGUAGCUCAACGCUCCAUCUCUCAGUGGAUAUAUAGAAUACGUUCUCUACACACGUAUCAAGUUGACGGAAAUCUGGAAACACCAAUGAUGGCUUAUGCCCAUUUACCGUUUCCUGCCACGACCACCAAUCUACCAACAACGCAGAUGAGCCCCCCAAGUUCUGCCCCGACCCCCCGGGCUUGUUGUGAAAACGGUCGGCCAGUUAUGACUGACCCCCACACUGGCCAGACUAUUUGCUCUUGUCAGUACGGGUCAGCUCUUCUCAAUUCCUACCAGCGACUCCCGGGACUAGCUUCCAACCUCCUGGGUGCUGCCCCAUACAGCGGGACUGGGACACAGGGAUAUGUCGGACUGGGAUCCGAGGGCUCUGCUUUCUAUAGUCCACUUGGUGCACCGGGAACCAACAUGAGGGAUGGAGCCGAGGCGUGGCGCUCCCUCACCCAACCCGCCUUCACAUACGAACCCUCAGUGGGGUUCUAUCCUUACGGAGCCGGAUACGGUGGCCUAGACCUCAAUGCUAGAAGGAAGAACGCUACAAGAGAGAGCACCAACACCCUGAAAGCGUGGUUGCAGGAACACAUAAAGAACCCCUACCCCACAAAGGGGGAGAAGAUCAUGCUGGCCAUCAUCACAAAGAUGACCUUGACCCAAGUGUCCACGUGGUUUGCCAACGCCAGAAGGAGGCUAAAGAAAGAAAAUAAAAUGACGUGGUCUCCUCGGAACCGUGGGGAUGACGAUGACAACUCCGGCGACGAGCGAGAUGACGACGAUGAGAAAGCUGAUGAGGGAAAACUUUGCGAUAAAGAUGGUGAGACCAAAGAGGAAGAAAUCGAUGUUGAAGCGGAUUUAUCUCAUGAUCUAGGUCGUGACAAGCCAGUCUCAGACUCGAACCACAAGUCCAAGUGUUCUGGUCUCUUUCCCGAUGAUGAAUGUGUUUCCCCAGUUCCGAGUGUGGGGAGGAUUCACGCAGUCGGUUAUCUCCCCCUCAAUCACGUGACUCAGACUCUUAUACAAGUGACGGUCUCAACCAAUCAGACUGCGAGCACGAUUCACAGCAGAAACCAAAAAUUUGGUCCGUGACAGACUUUUUGCACACUACGUCAUCAAAAGCUGUGCCCACGUCACCCAAAACAUGUGAGAAAAGUGACUCUGUGCGUAGUUCAAGGACAGUGAAUCUUUCAAAUGGACAUGACUUGCAUACGGGUACCUCCGCGCACAGUCCCCUCUUUUCAUCAUACCCCAACCCAGCCGGGUACUCCAACCCCUCAUCGUACCCCUUCUCACUCACUAGUCAAGGUUUGGGCAAGACAUCGGUUCGGCCGUCCUUUGGGAGAUUCAACCCUUACCCUACAGCUCGCCCGACCCCCGCAGACUCGGUUUUCUCUACCCCACGGGAUUUUAGCAUAGUGCGGGAGGAUUCGGAUGUGUCGGAUGCUUUGAACCUGUCUCUAUGAUAACACCUUACAGAUUUAAUCAAGAUAAAUUAAUGCAUUUUAGAUAUAAAUUUUAUAUUAGAAAUUAUUUCUUUUGAAAUAAUUCUCGACAUGUAUUAUUUUUAUGUUAUCAACAUGAAAGGGAUAGGGUAUUGUUUUAUAAACCAAAAAAAAAUCUUGAGCGUAGGAAAUAAGUAUAAAACGUGAUCGUGUUAAUAAAAGAGUCCGUUUAGUAAUUUUUGUUUGUACUCAAUGUUAUUAAACAUACCCUGUUACGGAACAUUGAAAGCUAUCGGUCUUGCUGUAUAGCGUAAGGAACUGUAGACCUGUUGGUAUCAAAUGUUCAGUCGACGUAGGCCAAGGACGACGAUGUCGAAACCAGACUCACCGGGAACAGUCGCCACUGAUGUCGUGGCGAUACGACGGCGGAAUCUGCGACAUCGCAUCUUAUCACUAUCCGAUCUACAUGUACAGGUGUUUAGGUUCUCAGUUGACAUGCAUGAGUUUCUAGGGUCGACUAUUAUGCAGUAUCAUGAUGGAAUGAAUACUUAUAAUAAAGAAAGCUUUCUUUCAAAAGCG